Molecule: ribosomal RNA, 253 nt
Filed under: uncultured bacterium
Lineage: Bacteria
Description: partial 16S ribosomal RNA
Rfam family: Bacterial small subunit ribosomal RNA
Source: RNAcentral
UACAGAGGUCCCAAGCGUUGUUCGGAUUCACUGGGCGUAAAGGGUGCGUAGGUGGUAAGGCAAGUCAGGUGUGAAAUCUCCGGGCUCAACCCGGAAAUGGCAUUCGAAACUACCUUGCUAGAGGGUUUGAGGGGGGACUGGAAUACUUGGUGUAGCAGUGAAAUGCGUAGAUAUCAAGUGGAACACCAGUGGCGAAAGCGAGUCCCUGGAAAACUCCUGACACUGAGGCACGAAAGCUAGGGGAGCAAACAGG